This 423-nucleotide ribosomal RNA is filed under the name uncultured bacterium. Its description in RNAcentral is "bacterial SSU rRNA". It matches the Rfam family "Bacterial small subunit ribosomal RNA", at positions 207 to 622 of the family's 1533-position model. The record is from RNAcentral.
AAGACCUUGCGCUUUUGGAGCGGCCGAUGCCUGAUUAGCUUGUUGGUAAGGUAAAAGCUUACCGAGGCUUCGAUCAGUAGCUGGUCUGAGAGGACGGCCAGCCACACUGGGACUGAGACACGGCCCAGACUCCUACGGGAGGCAGCAGUGGGGAAUUUUGGACAAUGGGGGCAACCCUGAUCCAGCCAUGCCGCGUGAGUGAAGAAGGCCUUCGGGUUGUAAAGCUCUUUCAGCCGGAACGAAACGGUUACGGUUAAUAUCCGUGACUACUGACGGUACCGGAAGAAGAAGCACCGGCUAACUACGUGCCAGCAGCCGCGGUAAUACGUAGGGUGCGAGCGUUAAUCGGAAUUACUGGGCGUAAAGCGUGCGCAGGUGGUUUUGUAAGUCAGAUGUGAAAGCCCCGGGCUCAACCUGGGAACU